Molecule: long non-coding RNA, 1107 nt
Filed under: Phoenix dactylifera (date palm)
Lineage: Eukaryota; Viridiplantae; Streptophyta; Magnoliopsida; Arecales; Arecaceae
Description: long non-coding RNA (PDAC_LNC004960)
Source: RNAcentral
ACGGAAGACACAUAAAAAACUAUAUAUUUAUGUUCACCAAACUCACAAGUUGGAUAUGCGAAUAGUAGCUAUUGGGCACAUGAGGAAAAGUAUCCAAAGAAAUUUCUUCCUAUGACCAAAUAUUAGCACUUGGGAAAGUACACAAAUGUAGAUGUACACAACCAGACUCGCAACAUAGUUAGAAAGAUGAGGGGGGAAAUACUAGAUAAAUAUUUUGAGGGGAAAAUUUCUGAUAUAUCAACCAAAUAUCAGUCGAUCAUUAGAACUUUAUCCUAAACAAUAAUCUCCGUGUAAUAACGCAAACUACUCUUAAGAGACAAUUCGACCUACGACCGUUCUCGAAAUAAUUAAUAUAAAUUUUAUCCUAUGAGAGCUUCAGCACAAAAAAUGAAAAAAGAAAAAAAGAAAACGGGGGAAUGAUUAUUCAAUUUACAUAAAUAAAAGUAUUCAAUAUGGUAGAAUAAUAGCCAUUCACUGGAAAGAGCUACCACUUGUCCUCGAGUACAUAACAUCAGGCAGAGCUCACCAUGUUCCUAAUUAAGCAUCCAUCUCGCCAACUAAUAGAAUCAGAACCACCCAUCUACUACUUGUUGUAUCAAUCCUAUGAGAACAUGACAUGCUAAUGCAUUGUAAAUGUUAAGCUUCCCAGGAAUAUGUAUGACGCAUCCACCAGAUAAAUUGACACUGGAUGGAGACAGUUGGUGCGGACUGGACCCCAUGCAUCAUGGGGUUUCCCUCUCCAUCCGUCCUUCCCAUGCGGCCGCCUCAGUCGAACGGAAGUCGUCCACCGAUCCCGGGAGAGAGAGGAAAAAUAUAAAAGAUAUAUAAUUAUGUUUUCAGAUCCUUCCUUCCUUUGGUUGUGGGUAAAUUCUUAGGUAAUCACCAUGAUCAGAUACUGCAGCAACCACGGGUUCUUCGUUCCCGUUCUAAUUGAUGUACAUAAAAAGAAAAAGGAGAGCCAAGCCAUAGAGCUAAAUGCAGGCCAUAAUUGGACGAUAUAAUUCCUUCUCCAGAUGCCGAUCCCAACUGACGACGGAGAUAUUAGGUGUUAGCAAUAUAUCUCCUAACUAAAUAAAUAAAUCUAUAAAUUCAAUUAAUAAAAAAAAN